GAUGAACGCUGGCGGCGUGCCUAAUACAUGCAAGUCGAGCGAACAGACGAGGAGCUUGCUCCUCUGACGUUAGCGGCGGACGGGUGAGUAACACGUGGAUAACCUACCUAUAAGACUGGGAUAACUUCGGGAAACCGGAGCUAAUACCGGAUAAUAUAUUGAACCGCAUGGUUCAAUAGUGAAAGACGGUUUUGCUGUCACUUAUAGAUGGAUCCGCGCCGCAUUAGCUAGUUGGUAAGGUAACGGCUUACCAAGGCAACGAUGCGUAGCCGGCCUGAGAGGGUGAUCGGCCACACCGGAACUGAGACACGGUCCAGACUCCUACGGGAGGCAGCAGUAGGGAAUCUUCCGCAAUGGGCGAAAGCUUGACGGAGCAACGCCGCGUGAGUGAUGAAGGUCUUCGGAUCGUAAAACUCUGUUAUUAGGGAAGAACAAAUGUGUAAGUAACUAUGCACGUCUUGACGGUACCUAAUCAGAAAGCCACGGCUAACUACGUG
This 497-nucleotide ribosomal RNA is filed under the name uncultured bacterium. Its description in RNAcentral is "partial 16S ribosomal RNA". It matches the Rfam family "Bacterial small subunit ribosomal RNA", at positions 28 to 507 of the family's 1533-position model. The record is from RNAcentral.